AGGGUGGCAUCAUCACGAGCCACACCUAACAAGUUAAGUUUAUGAAUUUAAUAGUAUGUGUCUUACCCCGCUUAGAGCCCAAAGGGACUGAGACGGAAGG
Molecule: non-coding RNA, 100 nt
Filed under: Thermosinus carboxydivorans Nor1
Lineage: Bacteria; Bacillati; Bacillota; Negativicutes; Selenomonadales; Sporomusaceae
Description: pan motif
Rfam family: pan motif
Source: RNAcentral